This 81-nucleotide ribosomal RNA is filed under the name Proteus mirabilis. The record is from RNAcentral. Lineage: Bacteria; Pseudomonadati; Pseudomonadota; Gammaproteobacteria; Enterobacterales; Morganellaceae.
CUUGGCGGCCAUAGCGCGGUGGUCCCACCUGAUCCCAUGCCGAACUCAGAAGUGAAACGCCGUAGCGCCGAUGGUAGUGUG